This 1435-nucleotide long non-coding RNA is filed under the name Mus pahari (shrew mouse). RNAcentral's name for it is "lncRNA (MGP_PahariEiJ_G0005856.1)". Lineage: Eukaryota; Metazoa; Chordata; Mammalia; Rodentia; Muridae. The record is from RNAcentral.
GUGAGUUCUGUGGAGCACGUUCUGCUGGGAGGGUGAGCUCUUCUCUCCUCUUCCACCAUCGUUCCUGCUUCUUUACAGGGAGCAGCCCCGCAUGAGACUGUGAUAGGCAAGGAUCUAAGGUGCCUUUGCUGGGUGCUGUGGGCAGAGAGAGCCUCACUUUUCCCUUGCCACAUCUGGAGUCUUCAAGGAAGUGAGAAGUGUUCAUGUUGCAGCUGCAGCCCCUUUCAUAACAAGUUUGGAUUGAAGACUCCAACAACAACUUAACGACCAACCAAAAAUUCCCACCAUUGUGGCUACCAAUUCUAACCCCUUGACCUUAACACACAAUUUUGCUUCCUGGUCUGGUUCAUUAUCUCCUAUCUUCUUCUCCUCUCUCAGAAAAACAAGUCCAUUCAUAGUUACAGUUGUGGGAUGUGGGGAGGAGCCCUCAUCUGUGCCCUAGAAAGGAGAGCACUGCAGGAAGGGGGCCACUAAUUAGCUGGUCCCAGAGCUUCAUGAAGCUGGUAUGGUUUCUGUAUUUUUAAGGCUUCAAGGCAAGGGGCCAGGCUGGGCAAAGAACAAUGAGUGCAUCGCAGAGGUGAAGCUUUUAAUGAUUCAGUCGCUAAUGAAAUGGCACUCCACGGGUUCACUUAUUAGUAACUUAGCUCAGACAGCCAUGUCCCACUGUCAGCUUGCCACUGAAGGCCCAGUGCGACCUCAGAAUUGUCAGCUCCACCUGAAAAAGAGCAAAUGUAGCAGGAAAUCCAGAAGCAGCAAGCAUAAUUUGGAGCGGGAAGAUUAACAACAACAGAGAGGGCCGUGGGAAUCACUGCAUCUCCAGUUUGCUGGGACGUUAAGCCGGGAGCAGAGCUUCUAUGAAGAACAGACUAACCUUGCACUACUUGGGUUACAUCUGAUUUGUAAACAAUGGAACGGCUUGAUUGAACAUUUUUUUUUUGGAGGCUUGGAUGACAGUGUUGGUAUUAGAGGAGUGACAAGCACAACUCCAUUCUCCACUAAUUAUAUACUGUGUGGCUGUUCCUGAUGCUUUUCAGGGCACAGAGAUUUCUAACUUUAUGUUUGGAAAAUGAUUUAUGGGGAAAAACACUUCCGUACAAAUCUUGCUUGACAACUGGGUCAUCGUGAAGGAUAUGUAGAUGUAAAAUUUUAUGACGCUUCCCAUUUCUGUAACUUUAUUUGUUUGAAUAACUUAGUAUCCUUUGCAUAAGUUAUUGAAUUACACCUGCUAAAAUGCCUCUGUCACAUGGGAAUUGUAUUUACCUUUGAAUUUAGAGUUGGAUAGGGAGGGCCGUCAUGUUGGGGACUGUCUUUUUGAGGGACAGGCCAUAUCUUACAUCUCUGGUUGGCUCACAUCUAUGUUUAAAGACUACUUCCUAAAAUGUACACUCAUAAAUGGAAUUUUCUCCUUUAAAUGCCCAUGUAUGUCCUUAUUAAC